This 458-nucleotide long non-coding RNA is filed under the name Vigna radiata. RNAcentral describes it as "long non-coding RNA (VRAD_LNC013514)". Lineage: Eukaryota; Viridiplantae; Streptophyta; Magnoliopsida; Fabales; Fabaceae. The record is from RNAcentral.
CGAACAGAUUAUCGACAAUCAUCAUAUGCACUAUCAAACACUAGAAUUCUAUAUAUUAUGCAUUAUGAGAAUAAAGGGUAAAUUGUAUACCUGAGAAUUCCUCUGAUAUUCCUCACUUCCUAUAUCCUCUCUGCCUAACCCCGAUGAUCUCUGCCUGCAGCCCAAAAACUUCUCCCUCCUCCGUAAUUUUCCCUGCCUUGUCCAUCCAACGAAAAAAAUUUCUUCCACCUCGUGCCCCCCUGGAAAAACACUUUUAACCGUUUUUCUCUUUUCCAAAUCUCCUUCCCCAAUCCAAUUCUAACAACCUUGCUCCCCUCUAUCCGACACCACCCUUCCACGUCACCAUUCCCCAUUUUUCUUUUCUUUCUUUUUUCUUUUUCAGUUUUUUUUAAUAUUUUUUCUUUUCUUUUUUCUUCCCUUUUUUCUCUUUUCUCUUUUUCUUCUAUUUUCGUUUUUUU